This is a non-coding RNA of Pelobates cultripes (western spadefoot toad), 1027 nucleotides long. NCBI's taxonomy places the organism in Eukaryota, Metazoa, Chordata, Amphibia, Anura, Pelobatidae. The record is from the annotation of a GenBank genome assembly.
CAUGAAUCUGACUCCCCCACACAUACACAAAAUCCCUCCAAACAUAUUCACACACAAAGCACCCCUCAUACAUGCACACUGCACCCCUCACACAACACCCCUCACACACACACUUACUGCACUGUUCACACAGCACCCUUCAAACACACACAUUACACCCCUCACACACACUUACCGCACCAUUCACACAGCACCCUUCACACACACUGCACCACACAAACACAGCAUCCCUCACACACACACAGCACCCUCACAUAUACACUGCACCCCUCAAACACACACAAAGAAAACAUAUAUAUGUACUACAUAAUCACUCGCACACACUGCACCUCUACACACAACUCUGUUUCACCUACACACAUUAGAUACUCUAUACACAUCUUGAAUCCUCUAUACACACACACAACACACUAGAUUUUCUAUACACACUCUAGGUCCUUCAAAAAAACACUAGAUCCCCUACACACACACUGCACCACAUACACUCAUACUACAUUCCUGUAAGCAAACACACUACAUUCCCUAAACACACUCUCUACAACCCCUACACACACUCCCUCACUAUGCCCUCUAUACACACUGUCUCACUCUCUACAGCCCCUAGCCACACAUAUAACAUCUCAAACACAACAUGACUGAAACUGACCUGUUUACACAAUUCCACACCACAAUCAGCUCACUCUACACACACGCAAUCCCACAAGCAGGCUCCAAACACAGGGAUUAUACACUUUCCUGGCCAUUUUGUCUCCUGGUAUCCCACUUAUGGAGACACCAGAGAAAAGUUACAAGCAAACACAGAGUAAGCAUGCUAAUAAAUUUGCUUACGAUGUGCAGAACACAUACAGGGCCUUUUUCUCAUGCUAGUGCUCUUUAGCAGAGCUCUGCACAUCAUCUGCCCUGGAAGAGCAUUGAACCUUUAACACAUUAAACAUGCCCACUUUGAGAGGGGAGCGUGCUUGUUAUUGGUGAUGACAUGACACCCCCGUCCUCUUCUCAGUGGGCCGAUGUGAUUAAAGAAGUCCGG